UGGGUCUCCACUACCCAGUCACUGAC
RNAcentral lists this non-coding RNA (26 nucleotides) under Homo sapiens (human). Lineage: Eukaryota; Metazoa; Chordata; Mammalia; Primates; Hominidae. The record is from RNAcentral.